GAUGAACGCUGGCGGCGUGCCUAAUACAUGCAAGUCGAGCGAACGGACGAGAAGCUUGCUUCUCUGAUGUUAGCGGCGGACGGGUGAGUAACACGUGGAUAACCUACCUAUAUGACUGGGAUAACUUCGGGAAACCGGAGCUAAUACCGGAUGAUAUUUUGAACCGCAUGGUUCAAAAGUGAAAGACGGUCUUGCUGUCACUUAUAGCUGGAUCCGCGCUGCUUUAGCUAGUUGGUAAGGUAACGGCUUACCAAGGCAACGAUGCAUAGCCGACCUGAGAGGGUGAUCGGCCACACGGGAACGUGGACACGGUCCAGACUCCUACGGGAGGCAGCAGUAGGGAAUGUUCCGCAGUGGGCGAAAGCCUGGCGGAGCAACGCCGCGUGAGUGAUGAAGGUCUUCGGAUCGUAAAACUCUGUUAUUAGUGAUGAACAUAUGUGUAAGUAACUGUGCACAUCUUGACGGUACCUAAUCAGAAAGCCACGGCUAACUACGUG
Molecule: ribosomal RNA, 497 nt
Filed under: uncultured bacterium
Lineage: Bacteria
Description: partial 16S ribosomal RNA
Rfam family: Bacterial small subunit ribosomal RNA
Source: RNAcentral